Camellia sinensis is the source of this 4123-nucleotide non-coding RNA. The record is from RefSeq and is a predicted model, not a curated record. NCBI's taxonomy places the organism in Eukaryota, Viridiplantae, Streptophyta, Magnoliopsida, Ericales, Theaceae.
CUUUCCUUUGCCGUCGCUAAAAGUCAUUUGCUGUCGCUAAAAUUUUUUUGAGACGGCAUUAAGAGUAUUAGCAACGGCAUUUUGCCAUCGCAAAAACCUGAAUUUUUUGUAACUUCAGCUUCUCCAAAAUAACCUACCUCCCUAGAGUCACUGCCCUUUAUUUGAAGACUCGGAAUAUUUGAUUGCAGCAAAGCACUUAUUAUGUCAGAGCCAUUCAUAUAAAAAUGACUAUAAUUUUUGUGAAUUCCAUUUUAUAGUUUCCUCAAUUCUGAAACAAGUACAUAGGGAGAUGAAGAUAUAUAGCCAUGGGAGAUAAAAAUUAGACAAAAAACUAUUGUGGCUCACAGUGGGGAAACCCCAGUCAAAGAUUAAAUUAACAUUUUACAGUGAAUUAAACUUAUCAAAAAAUGAGGAAUUAUAUUUUAGAGCAAUCAUAUCCGUAUGAUAAUUCGAUUCUUGCUAGACCACUAAUCUCCUACUAAGAAACAAACAUAAACCCUAAAAGAUCCAUGUACACAAUCUCUUAUAUAAUAAUUGACUAUUAACAUUAUACUCAUGGAGAUUGUGCUGAUUUCACAUGCAUCGUGCAUUGUUAUGUUGUUCAUCUCUCUGCUAAUAUAUUCGAACACAAACACAAUUUCAUAUAUUAAAACAAUGUAAAGGUAUAAAAAUUGCUCAUAAUCAAAAGUCAUAGCUCAAGAUUCAAAGCAAAUGUAUUAAUUAUAUACAAAAUUCUCCAAUUACAAUGAAACAUUCAUCAAAAUUUAGGCAUGGUCCCCUCCCAGCUCUACUGAGCUUAAAACAUUCCUUAAUUUACAUUCUCCAACACUGGUCGGACUUCUUCAUAUGGUUUCCUUCUUUCAAAACAAAAUCUUCUCCAAAUUCGAUAACAUUUUCAUAAAAUAAUCUCUAAAGUUGAAGUCUAAGUGUGUUUCCAAUGUUUUGUACUCAAAAUGUAGAGCAAAAGAUUGUCCAUAUGGGUUUCAUGUGGCUUUGCUUUGUUUGCCCAACAAGUAGCACCCACAACUUCCCGACAAGUGGCAUCAUCACCUCACCCUUUUUUUUUAAUUUUCUUUGAUAAUACAUAAUUUUUUACUAGGUUUAUUUGGAUAGUUACUUUAAAAUGGAGUAUUAUAGUGCAAAAAAUAGAUGAAAGGGAAUUGGGUUUGUUUCUUAAAGCAAAACAGUGAAGAAUUUAGUAAUUUGUCAAUUCUGGAAGUAAAGCAUCAAUUGAAGAGAAAAUAAAGAUAAAAAAGAAAAAAAUAUAGAAACCCAUCUAAAAUGAUUUGUUUAUAAUUUCAUAUGCAAUAUAUAGAAACUCGGAUUUGGGAUUCCUGUUAGGCCCAACAGGGUCUGCUAUGUCUUUCAAUAUGAUCAACUCCAAACCCUAUUCUAUGAUUCGAAUUAUUCAUUUUAUAAAACCUAUUAAGUAAUCUGGUAUUCAUAACCAUAUGAUCCUAUCAUAUCUUUAAAAAAAUUAUCAGCAAAUAUGAAAAAAAAAUGGAUGUUCUUGUAUUUACAAUCUUUGAACAUUUUACAAUAGGUAGGUAGUUCUGUUUUGGAUUCUUCUUGAGGUGACCCUUAAGGUAGCCCCAAAGAGCCCAAAAUGAUCUGAAACACCACUUGCCAUUGGGAAGCAAAGACAAAAUGGGGAAUAGGUUCUACGCUGGGCUUGUUUGGUGCACCUUUCUCAAGUUAAAAUUAAUAAUAAGAAAAUAUAAGUAAAAAUAUGUUUCUCCUAACUCUUAAACAAUAAAUUUUUUCAACUUAUUUAAAUUAUUUUUACUUUAUAAGAUAUAAGAAAAGAAGAAUAUAUAUCAAACACUAUAAUGCAAAUUUUUUAAAUUUAAAAAAAAAAUAUAUAUAUAUAUAAGCAACUCUAUAAGCUACCAAACAGGACCACUCUACUUCACAGAGAUGUGCAUACCACACCACUCAUCAAAUCUGGCAUAGGUUGACUAAAAAACAAAUCUAGUAUAGUCAUGAUUUUUGGUUCCAAAUUGAGUUCUCACCAACUUGUUAGUGACUGUGGGGGCUAGCAUUGCUAGUUUGUCGAGACAUACUGAUGACCCACAUGUUAAAAGCAUACAAAGCCAUCAUUAAAGGCACAAACCCAAUGAAGAAAACAAAAACAAGAAAACAAAAGCAAAGAUCAUAAUCAAAACUCAAAACACUGGGUUUUUAUUUUUGGGUACAUUAAAAGCCCGUGGCUUGUUGAGGAAAGUAUCGUAUAUAGUAAGGCUUCUCUCUUUAAUCUCCUGAUUAGCUCCAAUUGAUUACAUACUUUUGUAUCUCCAAUUGAUUACAUACUUUUGUAUCACCAAGAUAAUAAUGUAUAUCUAAUAUGAAUAAUAUUGGGCAAAUAUAUCAGAUAUAAUAAAACAAACUACAUGGCAUAUAUGAUUUUUAUGUCUAUAAUUAGAUAUAAUGAGCUUAGAGUGAAACAAGAACUGGGUAAUUAGCUUAAUUGACCUUGGGUCUUCUGGGAACUUUUUUCUUUUUUCUUCUUUUUUUUUUUUUUUUUGAGCUUACAUGUUCUUUGGCCUAUUCUAUUUUUAGACUUCAUUUUUCUUGAGCUGGGGGUCUGACAAAAGAAAUAUAGCAUCAAUAGGUGCUUGAUAAGUCUCUCACCUGUAGUUGUAAAAAGUUUUGAUGUCAUUGCACUAAAGUUUCUGAAUUUGACCAAGGUGUUGUCUUCUCUGGGCUACAGUCUUCCAUAAAGUCUUGCUGGGGAGAAACUGAUUCUUGGUGUAUUAUUAUCAGGUUUAGUUUUUCUGAUAUCGAUAUAUUUUGGUAUAUCAGUUAAAAUAAAAUCUAUAUAUUUUUUGAUCGGUAAAAGAAAGACUUUUAUUGAUGAAACCAAAAUGAUACAUAUAAGAAAAACAUCAAUAAAAAAGGCAAGAGCAAAAAGUAUCAAAGUGAAACUUCUAAAUCCUAACUAGAUUGGUACCAAGAAAACCACACAAUCUGCUAACUCAGGCCAAAAGAGUUAGUGAGGAACCAACACACAACACUGCAACAGUCACACUAUGCAGCUUCUAAAAUAAAAUCUAUAUAUGUAUUGGUUGGUAUCUAAUAGGUAUAGAUUCAUCACCGAUACUGCUGUGAUACAGUUAGUUUUAGUUGCUAUAAAACCUUCUUUUUUAUUAUUUUUUAUUUUUUGUUAUGGUUAAUGAUUUUAAAAAAUUUAUGAUUACAACACCUAAUUUUCAAUGUGCACCGCUCAAUACUCCUAAUACUAUUAUGCCACUACUAAUACAUCCCAAUACUACAUUUUAAAACCAUGGUUGGGUCUUAAUACUGUUACAGGGGAGAAGCUCACAGCCUAGAGGUUCCAAUGAUGGUUGGGAUGUAAUGGCACAGAUUUGUGAAAAAGUUAGUUUGGCUUCACAAAAGUGGAACCAAAACUAGAGCCUGAAAGUGAGACUACCACACAACCUAAGGACUCCCAAGAAGCUGAAAUAGUGCUAAGUCAGCUUGAUGGUAACAUGGUGAGACCAAUGGACUCAUUUUCAGAAAUUGAAAGCAUUGAUCAGUCAUCUAUAACUGAUCAAGAUUCUGAGGAAGAACAAGAAACCAGCCCAGAUUGGAGCAACGAUUCGAUUUCCGACGAGGAAAGCCUCAUUGAAAUUGCACUGCCAAGUGGGCACUAUGUUGGUGGUCCUAAUAAGAAAGAAGAGCCAAAGUUCAAUUUGCAGCAGAAAUUUUCAGACUUCUCUCUGAUGGAAAUCCUAGGAGACAUUAAUGAGAUGAAUGAGGAAGAUAACUUGAUAGAGAUUGACAUAUCCAUGGGCUCCAUCAAGUGUUCAAGGUUUGAAAUCGAAGCAUGAUCAGUUGCUCUCUCUUUUCUUUUCUUUUUUUUUUUUUUUUUUUUGGUGGAUUUGGUUUUGUUUUUAAUUAAGAUUAGGGUUUAUUAGGGUAUAUCUGGACCCUUAUAUUCUUUACUCUUUUUGGUGUUAUGGGAGCAGUGAAUUGUGAAGAUUCUGCCCUUUCAUUGACCUUGCCCUAACACAAACCUUGGAUACCCUUUAAAGCACUUGUAGUAUGGCUCUUUAUCUUCUUUUAAAGUUUAAAGGCUAUGGGCAAAUAAAAAAUAAAAUAAAAAUACAUGGAAUUCCACUUA